GAUGAACGCUAGCGGCAGGCUUAACACAUGCAAGUCGAGGGGUAACAGAGGUAGCUUGCUACUUGCUGACGACCGGCGCACGGGUGAGUAACGCGUAUGCAACCUACCUUUUACUGGGGAAUAGCCUUUAGAAAUGAAGAUUAAUACCCCAUAAUAUUAUAGUUCGGCAUUGGAUUAUGAUUAAAGUUUCGGCGGUAAAAGAUGGGCAUGCGUUUUAUUAGUUAGUUGGUAAGGUAACGGCUUACCAAGACUACGAUAAAUAGGGGUCCUGAGAGGGAGAUCCCCCACACUGGUACUGAGACACGGACCAG
RNAcentral lists this ribosomal RNA (311 nucleotides) under uncultured bacterium. Its description in RNAcentral is "bacterial SSU rRNA". It matches the Rfam family "Bacterial small subunit ribosomal RNA", at positions 28 to 334 of the family's 1533-position model. The record is from RNAcentral.